AUUGAUCGCUGGCGGCAGGCCUAACACAUGCAAGUCGAACGGUAACAGGAAGAAGCUUGCUUCUUUGCUGACGAGUGGCGGACGGGUGAGUAAUGUCUGGGAAACUGCCUGAUGGAGGGGGAUAACUACUGGAAACGGUAGCUAAUACCGCAUAAUGUCGCAAGACCAAAGAGGGGGACCUUCGGGCCUCUUGCCAUCGGAUGUGCCCAGAUGGGAUUAGCUAGUAGGUGGGGUAACGGCUCACCUAGGCGACGAUCCCUAGCUGGUCUGAGAGGAUGACCAGCCACACUGGAACUGAGACACGGUCCAGACUCCUACGGGAGGCAGCAGUGGGGAAUAUUGCACAAUGGGCGCAAGCCUGAUGCAGCUAUGCCGCGUGUAUGAAGAAGGCCUUCGGGUUGUAAAGUACUUUCAGCGGGGAGGAAGGGAGUAAAGUUAAUACCUUUGCUCAUUGACGUUACCCGCAGAAGAAGCACCGGCUAACUCCGUG
Molecule: ribosomal RNA, 490 nt
Filed under: uncultured bacterium
Lineage: Bacteria
Description: partial 16S ribosomal RNA
Rfam family: Bacterial small subunit ribosomal RNA
Source: RNAcentral